GGGCGAUUAGCUCAGGGGAUAGAGCGCUGGUCUCCGGAACCAAAGGCCGUGGGUUCGAAUCCCACAUCGCCCGCCA
This 76-nucleotide transfer RNA is filed under the name Deltaproteobacteria bacterium CG2_30_43_15. RNAcentral's name for it is "tRNA-Arg". It matches the Rfam family "tRNA". From Rfam's summary of the family: Transfer RNA (tRNA) molecules are approximately 80 nucleotides in length. Their secondary structure includes four short double-helical elements and three loops (D, anti-codon, and T loops). Lineage: Bacteria; Deltaproteobacteria. The record is from RNAcentral. RNAcentral also lists the same sequence under 5 other names.